CUCAGGGUCAGCCGCCCACCAGCUGGCCUGCUAUUUCUGGGCUGUGGGGGCUGCCAGUGGCCUCCUAGAUUUCUUUGAGCCUGGGAGGGAGGAGGGGACAGGCUGUACUUUGGGGACUCCGUAAGUUGUCAUGCCCCUCGAGAGGCAGCCCCAGGAGAGGCUAGAAUGAAAGAUCCCGAUCCGUCAUCACGUUUGGGGCUCAGCAAAGGGAAGGGAGUUGCCAAGACACAGAGCAAGUCAGUGGUGGAGUGUGGGCUCUAGAACCCAGAUUGAUCUCCUCAUUCCCAUCUCCACUGGAGAGAUGAUGCAUAUGGUUCAGAGAGGUCAAUUGACUAACCUGAGAUCACACAGUGAGAAAGAGGCAAGGCCAGUAUUCUAGCCACAUCUGUCCAUUCCAAGACAUCGUUUAUGUACACUUGUGUUUGCAGGUGGGACUCCUUGGGGCCUUAGGUGUCUGCAGAAGUGUCUCAGGGGCCUCGGAGGGGAGGUGACAGAAAAGCUGAGCUCACAAGUGGGACUCUGUUACUCCUCCUCCAUUUUCGUCCAUUUUAUUUGUGUCUUACGAGGAACAAAGGAAGGCUAGGAUGUUUUGGAAAGAUUGCCGACCCUUCAGCAUCUUAAUUACAUCAACAUGAAAACUGAGGCUCACCCAGGGGAAGGGGCUUGCCCAAAGAGCCCAGCAAGGCCUAGAAGCCCGGGCUCCACAUCCCCACCUGGGGCUUCCAGGGGGAGGGGAGAGAGACAACACGGAGGAGUACAUUGGGACCUCGCGUGAGCCGAGCAGCAGCUAAUAGGACGUUACCCAGGGACGUAGAGAUGCGGCUCCCGGCCCGUCUGCAGAAGCGUGGAGAGGAGCUUGCUCGUCCGCAGCCGAAGGGGAGUGGGACUGAGGUUCCAUCCAGGAUUGGACACUUAAUUUGAUUGCUGCAUUCCUUUAGUGUCUGUUCCAGAAUGAAGAGUGCCCACUGUACCACCCACGGCACUUUUUUUUCUUUCAUGACAUUGACCUUUUUUAGAGACAGCUCAGUUGUCUUGUUGACUGUCUCUCCAUUUGGGCGGAUGUGAUUGUUUCCUCGUGGUUAGAUUUGGGUGGAACAUUCUGGGCAAUAACACUGCAGAGGUGAGGUCGCAUCCUCCCCAGUGCAUUAUGUAAGUAGGGCCCCGUGCCAGUUCGUCCCACCACCAGUGAU
This 1190-nucleotide long non-coding RNA is filed under the name Equus asinus (donkey). RNAcentral describes it as "lncRNA (ENSEASG00005034307.1)". Lineage: Eukaryota; Metazoa; Chordata; Mammalia; Perissodactyla; Equidae. The record is from RNAcentral.